RNAcentral lists this ribosomal RNA (492 nucleotides) under uncultured bacterium. RNAcentral's name for it is "partial 16S ribosomal RNA". It matches the Rfam family "Bacterial small subunit ribosomal RNA", at positions 29 to 507 of the family's 1533-position model. The record is from RNAcentral.
AGUGAACGCUGGCGGUAGGCCUAACACGUGCAAGUCGAACGGCAGCACAGUAAUAGCUUGCUCUUACGGGUGGCGAGUGGCGGACGGGUGGGGAAUACAUCGGAAUCUACUUUUUCGCGGGGGAUAACGUAGGGAAACUAACGCUAAUACAGCAUACGACCUACGGGUGAAAGCAGGGGAUCUUCGGACAUUGUGCGAUUGAAUGAGCCGAUGUCGGAUUAGCUAGUUGGCGGGGUAAAGGCCCACCAAGGCGACGAUCCGUAGCUGGUCUGAGAGGAUGAUCAGCCACACUGGAACUGAGACACGGUCCAGACUCCUGAGGGAGGCAGCAGUGGGGAAUAUUGGACAAUGGGCGCAAGCCUGAUCCAGCCAUACCGCGUGGGUGAAGAAGGCCUUCGGGUUGUAAAGCCCUUUUGUUGGGAAAGAAAAGCAGCAGGUUAAUACCCCGCUGUUCUGACGGUACCCAAAGAAUAAGCACCGGCUAACUUCGUG